GACGAACGCUGGCGGCGUGCUUAACACAUGCAAGUCGAACGGACAGGCCCUGCUUUUGUUGGGUGCUCGAGUGGCGAACGGGUGAGUAACACGUGAGUAACCUGCCCUUGACUUUGGGAUAACUUCAGGAAACUGGGGCUAAUACCGGAUAGGAGCUCUUGCUGCAUGGUGGGGGUUGGAAAGUUUCGGCGGUUGGGGAUGGACUCGCGGCUUAUCAGCUUGUUGGUGGGGUAGUGGCUUACCAAGGCUUUGACGGGUAGCCGGCCUGAGAGGGGGACCGGCCACAAGGGGACUGAGAUACGGCGCAGACGCCUACGGGAGGCAGCAGUGGGGAAUAUUGCACAAUGGGCGGAAGCCUGAGGCAGCAACGCCGCGUGCGGGAUGACGGCCUUCGGGUUGUAAACCGAUGUCGCCUGUGACGAAGCGUGAGUGACGGUAAUGGGUAAAGAAGCACCGGCUAACUACGUG
RNAcentral lists this ribosomal RNA (468 nucleotides) under uncultured bacterium. RNAcentral describes it as "partial 16S ribosomal RNA". It matches the Rfam family "Bacterial small subunit ribosomal RNA", at positions 28 to 507 of the family's 1533-position model. The record is from RNAcentral.